RNAcentral lists this ribosomal RNA (253 nucleotides) under uncultured bacterium. RNAcentral describes it as "partial 16S ribosomal RNA". It matches the Rfam family "Bacterial small subunit ribosomal RNA", at positions 524 to 776 of the family's 1533-position model. The record is from RNAcentral.
UACGUAGGGUGCGAGCGUUGUCCGGAAUUAUUGGGCGUAAAGGGCUCGUAGGCGGUUUGUCGCGUCGGGAGUGAAAUCCACUGGCUUAACUGGUGGCUUGCUUUCGAUACGGGCAGACUGGAGGUAUGCAGGGGAGAACGGAAUUCCUGGUGUAGCGGUGAAAUGCGUAGAUAUCUGGAGGAACACCGGUGGCGAAGGCGGCAUCCUGGACCAAUUCUGACGCUGAGGAGCGAAAGCCAGGGGAGCAAACGGG